This 730-nucleotide ribosomal RNA is filed under the name uncultured Prevotella sp. RNAcentral describes it as "bacterial SSU rRNA". It matches the Rfam family "Bacterial small subunit ribosomal RNA", at positions 62 to 779 of the family's 1533-position model. Lineage: Bacteria; Pseudomonadati; Bacteroidota; Bacteroidia; Bacteroidales; Prevotellaceae. The record is from RNAcentral.
UCGAGGGGAAACGGCAUUGGGUGCUUGCACUGAAUGGACGUCGACCGGCGCACGGGUGAGUAACGCGUAUCCAACCUUCCCGUUACUGCGGGAUAACCUGCCGAAAGGCAGACUAAUACCGCAUGUUCUUCGAUGACGGCAUCAGAUUCGAAGCAAAGAUUCAUCGGUAACGGAGGGGGAUGCGUCUGAUUAGCUAGUUGGCGGGGCGACGGCCCACCAAGGCGACGAUCAGUAGGGGUUCUGAGAGGAAGGUCCCCCACAUUGGAACUGAGACACGGUCCAAACUCCUACGGGAGGCAGCAGUGAGGAAUAUUGGUCAAUGGGCGGAAGCCUGAACCAGCCAAGUAGCGUGCAGGACGACGGCCCUACGGGUUGUAAACUGCUUUUAUGCGGGGAUAAAGUGAGGGACGCGUCCCUUUUUGCAGGUACCGCAUGAAUAAGGACCGGCUAAUUCCGUGCCAGCAGCCGCGGUAAUACGGAAGGUCCGGGCGUUAUCCGGAUUUAUUGGGUUUAAAGGGAGCGUAGGCCGGGGAUUAAGUGUGUUGUGAAAUGUAGGCGCCCAACGUCUGACUUGCAGCGCAUACUGGUUCCCUUGAGUACGCGCAACGCCGGCGGAAUUCGUCGUGUAGCGGUGAAAUGCUUAGAUAUGACGAAGAACCCCGAUUGCGAAGGCAGCCGGCGGGAGCGCAACUGACGCUGAAGCUCGAAGGUGCGGGUAUCGAACAGGAUU